GAUGAACGCUAGCGGCAGGCCUAACACAUGCAAGUCGAGGGGUAGCAGGAUUAAGCUUGCUUAAUUGCUGACGACCGGCGCACGGGUGCGUAACGCGUAUGCAACCUACCUUAUACUGGGGUAUAGCCCGGAGAAAUUCGGAUUAAUCCCCCAUAGUACUAAUGGAUCGCAUGGUGUAUUAGUUAAAGCAUUGCGGUAUAAGAUGGGCAUGCGUCCUAUUAGCUAGAUGGUGAGGUAACGGCUCACCAUGGCUACGAUAGGUAGGGGGCCUGAGAGGGUGGUCCCCCACACUGGUACUGAGACACGGACCGGACUCCUACGGGAGGCAGCAGUGAGGAAUAUUGGUCAAUGGGCGCAAGCCUGAACCAGCCAUGCCGCGUGCAGGAAGAAUGCCCUAUGGGUUGUAAACUGCUUUUAUUUGGGAAUAAACCUCUUUACGUGUAGAGAGCUGAAGGUACCAAAUGAAUAAGCACCGGCUAACUCCGUGCCAGCAGCCGCCGUAA
Molecule: ribosomal RNA, 503 nt
Filed under: uncultured bacterium
Lineage: Bacteria
Description: partial 16S ribosomal RNA
Rfam family: Bacterial small subunit ribosomal RNA
Source: RNAcentral